GGCAGCAGUGAGGAAUAUUGCCCAAUGGGCGCAAGCCUGAGGCAGCAACGCCGCGUGGGGGAUGAAGGCCUUCGGGUCGUAAACCCCUUUUCUGCGGGAAGAGAAAGGACGGUACCGCAGGAAUAAGUCUCGGCUAACUACGUGCCAGCAGCCGCGGUGAAACGUAGGAGGCAAACGUUAUCCGGAAUUACUGGGCGUAAAGCGCGCGCAGGCGGCUUUGUAAGUCCGACGUGAAAGCUCCCGGCUUAACUGGGAGAGGCCGUUGGAAACUGCAGAGCUUGAGGUUGGGAGAGGAAAGUGGAAUUCCCGGUGUAGUGGUGGAAUGCGCAGAUAUCGGGAGGAACUCCAGUGGCGAAGGCGACUUUCUGGCCUACACCUGACGCUGAGGCGCGAAAGCGUGGGGAGCGAACAGGAUUAGAUACCCUGGUAGUCCACGCUGUAAACGAUGUGAACUAGGUGUUAGCGGUAUCGACCCCGCUAGUGCCGUAGCAAACGCGUUAAGUUCACCGCCUGGGGACUACGGCCGCAAGGCUAAAACUCAAAUGAAUUGACGG
RNAcentral lists this ribosomal RNA (554 nucleotides) under uncultured bacterium. RNAcentral's name for it is "bacterial SSU rRNA". It matches the Rfam family "Bacterial small subunit ribosomal RNA", at positions 347 to 916 of the family's 1533-position model. The record is from RNAcentral.